GCGGAAUCCAGAAUAUCUUUGAGCAUUCCAGACACAGUGGGGCAUUUGAGCCGGUGUUUCUCUGCAUCAAGGCGAUCAGCGUAUCGGAAUAUCCGGUUGUUAUGGCCGGACGCAUCACAGCGUUUCUUCUCAUGUGUGCCAUGUUCGCCUACGGUAUUAUGGCCAUUCCAACUAAUCAAGAUGCUACAGCACGAGGAAAUUCAAUCCCUACAAGUGCUGCCAAUGAGGAUGCAAGAAUCGGAAAACCUGCGAUCGAAAGCUUCGUUGACGGAGGACUCGGCUGAAACUCACGUGAUUUGCUACACCGAGAGCAGCGCUAUAAAACCGGUUUUUGUCGCGUGCUCGCUGCUUUCUUUAGCGAGUGAAAUGAAAUAAAAUUUACCAGCAUCAGGUUA
Molecule: non-coding RNA, 395 nt
Organism: Dermacentor andersoni
Lineage: Eukaryota; Metazoa; Arthropoda; Arachnida; Ixodida; Ixodidae
Source: RefSeq, a predicted model, not a curated record